This 306-nucleotide ribosomal RNA is filed under the name Triticum aestivum (bread wheat). RNAcentral's name for it is "partial small subunit ribosomal RNA". Lineage: Eukaryota; Viridiplantae; Streptophyta; Magnoliopsida; Poales; Poaceae. The record is from RNAcentral.
AUGAACCGUGCCGGCAGGCUGGCCCUUGUCAAGUCUGUCCUACGCGCUAUCCCGGUGCACCAGCUCUUGGCUUUCGCCCCUCCGAAGAAGACGCUGCAGCAGCUCGCGAAGAUUCAGCGAGGCUUCUUCUGGGCUGGGCGAGCCGCCGCCAAUGGUGGGCACUGCCACGUGAACUGGCGUCAUGUCACUCGCCCCCUUGCUCUGGGCGGCCUCGGGGUCCGCGGCCUGGAGCGAGCCGGCCUCGCGCUCAGACUGAGGUGGCUUUGGCUCUCGCGCCUGGCAAGGGGCGCUCGGUGGGCGAGCUAA